GGAGAUGUUAUUUACCUGGACGGGGCAAGUCACAGGGCUAGCAACUGGUUACGGUUUCUUAACUGUGCUCGGGGUCAAUGUGAAGAGAACGUCCUUGUUAGAAAUAUCCCAGGUGGAAUACAGUAUUAUUCGUAUAAACCAAUUGGGUUGGGAGAGGAAUUACUAGUUUUCUACGGAGAGGAAUAUUUCGAAGAGUUGGGGUAUUCUUUGCAGACUGAUGUUGAAAAUGGUCAGCAAUAUCAUUGUACUGCAACUGGUUGUCUGAAGCUGUUUAAGACACAGCAAGAGCUGAAGACACACACAUGUGGGAAGACUCGGAGAGUGUCAGGAAAAGAGAAAGUGCACAAGUGUGACACGUGUGGGAAGAUGUUUUCUGACAGGAGUAACUUAGCUAGGCACAUCAGAACAGUACACAAUAAGGUAGCGAGACACAGCUGUCCCUACUGUAAAUAUAAAACAGAUCACCAACAUCACCUCACAUAUCACAUGUUAACACACACAGGGGAUAAGCAGUACAAGUGUAUACACUGUGACUAUACUGCUAUUUUGAAGCAGAAUCUCACUGUUCACAUCUACAAUAACCACACUAACAAGACAUACAGGUGUGGGUACAAGCAGUGUGGUGUUAAGAAACCUUCUGAACAGGAACUAUAUGAUCAUAUCAGUACAGAGCAUCCACUGCAACAAUACAGAUGUGAUGUGUGUCCAAUGUCUUUUAACGUACCUUAUGCUCUUGAAUCACACAAGCGAAGACAUGGUGAUCGUGAGCUAGAAUCAAAGCACGAGUGUAAGUACUGUGGAAAACUGUUUUUACAAUCAGGUCAUCUGAAGAAACAUG
Molecule: long non-coding RNA, 838 nt
Organism: Bolinopsis microptera
Lineage: Eukaryota; Metazoa; Ctenophora; Tentaculata; Lobata; Bolinopsidae
Exons: 3
Source: RefSeq, a predicted model, not a curated record